GUGCCAGCCGCCGCGGUAAUACGGAGGGUGCAAGCGUUGUCCGGAAUCAUUGGGUGUAAAGGGUGCGUAGGCGGGAGCCUAAGUCUGUGGUGAAAUCUUGCCGCUUAACGGUAAAAUUGCCAUGGAUACUGGGUUUCUUGAGUACAGAAGAGGUCGGUGGAAUUCGUAGUGUAGCGGUGAAAUGCAUAGAUAUUACGAAGAACACCAGUGGCGAAGGCGGCCGGCUGGACUGUAACUGACGCUGAGGCACGAAAGCGUGGGGAGCGAACAGGAUUAGAAACCCGGGUAGUCC
RNAcentral lists this ribosomal RNA (292 nucleotides) under uncultured bacterium. RNAcentral's name for it is "partial 16S ribosomal RNA". It matches the Rfam family "Bacterial small subunit ribosomal RNA", at positions 505 to 796 of the family's 1533-position model. The record is from RNAcentral.